UUUGUGGGGAGGUUGAUUAUGUGCUUUGAUGGAUGAUUUUGGCUGGAGGUUGCCAUUAUUUUCUACCCAAAAUGAUGGCUGGCAUAGUUAACUUGCCUUGUUAUGCAUGAUGAUUUUGGAUUAGUAUGCGUCCCAAAAUCACGGUAACCACAUUUCCCCUCCUCCCACCACUCACCAUCGACCCACCAGAGAAGCGGCGCCGGCGCCGGCGUGCAUCGGCCUCUCCGUGCGCGCGGCUCCGUCGAGCUCGCCCCGACCGCGUCGUGCGCGUGGCCGAGGGUCUGCGCUGCGGUGCUCCACGACGGCGGCGAGUUGCCGGCCACCAGGACGCGGCGGCGGCGGCGGGCCGUCGUCCGCCAUCUCACCCGUUUGCGAGCCGAAGCAGGGGCGGCCAGCAGCGGAGAGGGAUCCGUCCUGGGCGUCUCCUCCGGCGUGCUCGCCGGUAACGGCGGCCGCCCCCGACGCGCGCAGCUGCAGGGUUUCCCGGCGCACAGGGACUCGGAUCUUGGAGACACUGGAUCGAGUUCGCUCAUGAAUAGCCCUGCACCUUUCUCUCUGUUUACACGCGCUGCAAAUAUUCAGUUACAGUGUUCGAGGCCGUGAUUCAGUUCGUCGGGCUGAACCCAAUGAUCUACUACGACGACACCCUCAUCGGCACCAUCACUCUUCUACAAGCAAGGAUUAAGAGUCGCUUGAAUUUCCCUCAUGUGUACUGAUGUUCCCCCCUAAUAUACAGCACCUUUUUGCUGUUUGGAGAUUUUGCCAGGGUGAAAGUUUGGAUACUGUUGGUGAAGGGCUUGAAAUUCUGAAAAACAUGGUAGGUGCUGAUAUAAAUUCGGUUGCUUUUUUCUAGUUGAACGAUGGUAGGAAUCACAUGAAUUUUACUCUUGUGGUGCUUCCGGCUUCCCUGCUCCGUUUGCUAUUUUGGUAUAUUCCAAGAUGCAUAAUCUGAGAUGAUUCCUGUAGAUUUUAUUUCAUGUGUUUCAUUUGAUGGUCAUUAUAAUUACCAAACUUGCUAGAUGCAGAUUAAUAUUGUGAAGUAUAUAUAGUCCAUUAAAAUCCUAAUAUUUUCUCGAACCGAACCAGUUCGAAAAUGAUUGCUAUUCAUUGAAUCUUUGUGCUUGUGAUUUGACAUAAUUUAAUAUUGAUGCCUUUUUCUUGCUCCACUUUGUUUCUUGAUUUAGCUGAACUAGUACAUUUGUUGUUUCUUAAGGAAUAAUCUUAAUUGUCCCUGGUUUCUGUAUCAUGGAUUAUUUAGAUUACCAUGAUAAGUAUCUGUACUUAUGUAGGAUCAGAAUGCACAUACAUUUGUUUUUGGUUCCUUAUUUAGUUUGGUAUAUGUACUUGAGCAUCUCUGUGAGUAUAGGUGCAUGCACUGCUGGUAUGAUCCAAUCGUCGCAUGGUUCCGUUUGAUCCAAUCGUCGCGCGCUUCCGCGAUCAUGCUUGAACUAUUGUGUACAAUAUCGUCGCCUUAUUAUUUUGCAGUCCUUUCGAAAUAUCUGUAUUUGCUUUGCUUAUCAUGCUCUGUUUAUUUUGUCCGAGGAUAACGAGGAGGACUGAGCGACCGUAGUGGCCCCUUCUUCUUCGACUCCAUGUCUUUUAUGGGGUCUUGGCCUUGCGCACCGAAGUCCCUCGCAGACGUGCUUGGCGCUGGUAGCAUCGGCUUGCCUCCGGGUGCUUAGGUUCGAGGCCGUGAUUCACUUUGCUGGAAAAUCAAUGGCGGCCCGUGCCCAGCAGCCCCCGCACGUCGGCGGUCCGGUCUGGGUAGGUCCGGCCGUACCAGCUCCGACGACGACGGCCUCCCUCGUCGGCAGGCUGCACGGCGUGAGAUACCUCCUGCUGCUCCCGGCCGAAGGUGGGCUGGUCCGGUGAGACCCGGCUCCUCCAGGUGCGCCAGCGCUGCCUGGAAAGGGAGGCCGACCUCCCUUCUCCACACACCGACCACCUCCCUGCCACGAACUCCGAACUCCUGCUGUUGCAUGCCGGUAAGAAGAGGAAAGACACUAUCUGCACUGUCCUUGCGCGCGGAGGACACUUAUGAGGAGCCUAAAGUUAGGAUGGAAAAGGUCGUAGGAAGAACCUGACGUGAAAUAUGGGAAUCGUAUCCGCACUCAUCCAAUUGGUGAUACAGUUGAAGGCAUUACUGAAAACUAUUUGAUGCCUUCUUGAAAUGGUUCAUGUUUGGGUCUGGUGGUGGUACAACCAGCCCAAGGCGGCGGUGGUGAUGGCGAGGAUGGAUCAGGAAGGAGCCCACUCGGUCUGCGCCGGGGACGGGAACGAUAACUACCCGCAGGGUAUGAUUACUGGCCACGUGUAUUACUUCCUGGAAGAUGUGAACCCUCUGGUGACUGGCCAGCAUCCUGUGAAGACUCCUUUGUUCAUCAAGACUGAUGUUUGCUGACAACAAUCUGGUGGUGGCUUGGCCAACCAACGCCGGGCUCGGUCCGGGUGCAAGGUUUGGUUCUAUGGAGUAUGGACCCACAGUUCCAAUGAUCACCCGAUGUCCAUGACAUGCGACAGAUCUAGGAAAGCGAAUUCUUUUAUUCCUUCAUAUUGUGAGGUUGUGCGAUGCAAGGUCCGCGUGUACUUAUGCAUGCUAGAUCAUUGUUAUUGUGCAUAACGAAGAUAUGUGACUGGCAAGGACAACGACGAGCCAGUUUAGCUGUGACAUGUAGCUGCUGCAGGUUAGUGCAUCUGGGGGAUAGGGGAUGUCGUCAUCGUAUAUGUGCCUUGGUCGUCGAACAAUCUAUAUGCGCCUUAUCAAUUUCGUUGAUGUUUCUUGUUCAUUAUUGUUUUACACCUCUUGUAUAUUUGAAUGUCAAAUUUGUUGUGUUGUGUGCACUCUAGCAAGUUUUUGAUGUACAGUAAAUACUUGCUAUGUUAUCAUGAUGUCUGAGAAAGAGACUUUCGAGCU
Molecule: long non-coding RNA, 2914 nt
Organism: Lolium perenne
Lineage: Eukaryota; Viridiplantae; Streptophyta; Magnoliopsida; Poales; Poaceae
Source: RefSeq, a predicted model, not a curated record